AGGCAACCAUGAGCAUAAAGAAUAAAUCUGGAGUGGCUAAAAUUGAGACACAGGUCAUGCUUCCAUCACAGUAAACAUAUUACAGUGGUGACAAUGAGACCUGUAACAUUU
Small nucleolar RNA from Heterocephalus glaber (naked mole-rat), 111 nucleotides. Lineage: Eukaryota; Metazoa; Chordata; Mammalia; Rodentia; Bathyergidae. The record is from Ensembl.